UUAAUUGAAACCAAAAAGAGGUAUAUUAUUGUUAAUAAUAAAAUUGAAUUUAAAAUUCCAAUUAAA
This 66-nucleotide transfer RNA is filed under the name Syntermes molestus. RNAcentral's name for it is "tRNA-Asn". RNAcentral also lists the same sequence under 2 other names. The record is from RNAcentral. Lineage: Eukaryota; Metazoa; Arthropoda; Insecta; Blattodea; Termitidae.